AAGUCGUAACAAGGUUUCCGUAGGUGAACCUGCGGAAGGAUCAUUAAAGAGUUAGGGUCCUAGUGGCCCAACCUCCAACCCUCUGUUGCUAAAGUCAAUACCUUGAUCGUCGUUUUUGGGCCGGGUUGGACCCGGGGAUUCCCGGGUUUCCUCCGGGUAGCCUCCGGACGGCUUGAACCCCGUUUUCAACCUUGGGGCGGGUUUUUGGGGCCGGAAGGCCGCCCCCGCCCAGAGUCCAAACCCAAAAACUCUUGUGUUUAAAACCCAGUCGUCUGAGUAUAAAAAUUUUUAAUUAAAAUUAAAAA
This 305-nucleotide unclassified non-coding RNA is filed under the name plant metagenome. RNAcentral describes it as "partial contains small subunit ribosomal RNA and internal transcribed spacer 1". The stretch from base 1 to 46 matches the Rfam family "Eukaryotic small subunit ribosomal RNA", at positions 1786 to 1831 of the family's 1831-position model. The record is from RNAcentral.